Molecule: ribosomal RNA, 480 nt
Filed under: uncultured bacterium
Lineage: Bacteria
Description: bacterial SSU rRNA
Rfam family: Bacterial small subunit ribosomal RNA
Source: RNAcentral
AAUCAACGCUGGCGGCGCGCUUAACACAUGCAAGUCGCACGAGAAAGUGGAGCAAUCCAUGAGUACAGUGGCGCACGGGUGAGUAACACGUGGGUAACCUGCCCUUGAAUGGGGAAUAACCCGGGGAAACCUGGGCUAAUACCGCAUACGCUCCUUUCGGCUCACGCCGGAGGGAGGAAAGGCGCAAGCCGUUCGAGGAGGGGCCCGCGGCCGAUUAGCUAGUUGGUAGGGUAAUGGCCUACCAAGGCUUUGAUCGGUAGCCGGCCUGAGAGGGCACACGGCCACACUGGCACUGAAACACGGGCCAGACUCCUACGGGAGGCAGCAGUGGGGAAUCUUGCACAAUGGGGGAAACCCUGAUGCAGCGACGCCGCGUGAGCGAUGAAGCCCUUCGGGGUGUAAAGCUCUUUUGGCGGGGAAAAUUAUGAUGGUACCCGCUGAAUAAGCUGCGGCUAACUACGUGCCAGCCGCCGCCGUAAC